GUAAAAUUAGUUUAAUUUGGUAGAAUAACGUCUUGUGGCGACUGUAGUUCAGAGUUCGAGUCUCUGAUUUUACC
Non-coding RNA from Gautieria morchelliformis, 74 nucleotides. The record is from the annotation of a GenBank genome assembly. NCBI's taxonomy places the organism in Eukaryota, Fungi, Basidiomycota, Agaricomycetes, Gomphales, Gomphaceae.